This 1573-nucleotide ribosomal RNA is filed under the name Bactrodesmium leptopus. Its description in RNAcentral is "SSU rRNA". It matches the Rfam family "Eukaryotic small subunit ribosomal RNA", at positions 161 to 1768 of the family's 1831-position model. Lineage: Eukaryota; Fungi; Ascomycota. The record is from RNAcentral.
GAGCUAAUACAUGCUAAAAGCCCCGACUUCGGAAGGGGCGUAUUUAUCAGAAUCAGAACCAAUGCCCUUCGGGGCUCCCUGGUGGCUCAUGAUAACUCCACAGAUCGCAUGGCCUUGCGCCGGCGAUGGCUCAUUCAAAUUUCUUCCCUAUCAACUUUCGACGGUACGGUCUUGGCCUACCGUGGUUGCAACGGGUGACGGAGGGUUAGGGCUCGACCCCGGAGAGGGAGCCUGAGAAACGGCUACCACAUCCAAGGAAGGCAGCAGGCGCGCAAAUUAUCCAAUCCCGACUCGGGGAGAUAGUGACAAUAAAUACCGAUACAGGGCUCUUUUGGGCCCCGUAAUUGGAAUGAGUACAAUUUAAACCUCUUAACGAGGAACAAUUGGAGGGCAAGUCUGGUGCCAGCAGCCGCGGUAAUUCCAGCUCCAAUAGCGUAUAUUAAAGUUGUUGUGGUUAAAAAGCUCGUAGUCGAACCUCGAGCCCGGCCGGCCGGUCCGCCUCACCGCGUGCACUGGUCUGGCCGAGCUCUUCCCUCUGCGGAACCUCAUGUCCUUAACUGGGCGUGCUGGGGAGGCAGGACUUUUACUUUGAAAAAAUUAGAGUGCUCAAGGCAGGCCAAUGCUCGGAUACAUUAGCAUGGAAUAAUAGAAUAGGACGUUGGUUCUAUUUUGUUGGUUUCUAGGACCGCCGUAAUGAUCAAUAGGGACGGUCGGGGGCAUCAGUAUUCAGCCGCGAGAGGUGAAAUUCUUAGACCGGCUGAAGACUAACUACUGCGAAAGCAUUUGCCAAGGACGUUUUCGCUGAUCAGGAACGAAAGUUAGGGGAUCGAAGACGAUCAGAUACCGUCGUAGUCUUAACCAUAAACGGUGCCGACUUGGGAUCGGGCGCUGUUCUCUCUAGACGCGCUCGGCACCAUUCGAGAAAUCAAAGUGCGUGGGCUCCAGGGGGAGUAUGGCGGCAACGCUGAAACUUAAAGAAAUUGACGGAAGGGCACCACCAGGGGUGGAACCUGCGGCUUAAUUUGACUCAACACGGGGAAACUCACCAGGUCCGGACACAAUGAGGAUUGACAGAUUGAGAGCUCUUUCUUGAUUUUGUGGGUGGUGGUGCAUGGCCGUUCUUAGUUGGUGGGGUGACUUGUCUGCCUAAUCGCGAUAACGAACGAGACCUUGACUGCUAAAUAGCACGCGCCGCCUCGGCGGUGUCGCGGCUUCUUAGUGGGACUAUCGGCUCAAGCCGAUGGAAGUUCGAGGCAAUAACAGGUCUGUGAUGCCCUUAGAUGUCCUGGGCCGCACGCGCGUGACACUGACAGAGCCAGCGAGUUCUUCCCUUGGCCGGAAGGCCCGGGUAAUCUUGUGAAACUCCGUCGUGAUGGGGAUAGAGCAUUGCAAUUGUUGCUCUUCAACGAGGAAUCCCUAGUAAGCGCAAGUCAUCAGCUUGCGUUGAUUACGUCCCUGCCCUUUGUACACACCGCCCGUCGCUACUACCGAUUGAAUGGCUCAGUGAGGUUUUCGGACUGGCCCAGGAAGGCGGGAGACUGCUAUCCAGGGCCGGAAAGUUGCCCAAACUCGG